RNAcentral lists this long non-coding RNA (456 nucleotides) under Homo sapiens (human). RNAcentral describes it as "HSALNT0164238". The record is from RNAcentral. Lineage: Eukaryota; Metazoa; Chordata; Mammalia; Primates; Hominidae.
GGAACUGUUGACUUGGCUCGAGUUUCCAGCUCAGCAGCUGGGAGGGACGCGUGGAGUGGGGAGCAGGGACCUCUGGCUCCUCCCAACCCCCAGUGCCUGUUGUGAGAGCUAGAGAAGACUGCUAGAUGACCGACUGAGUCCCUCCGGGCGCCAUUGAUGUCAGUACGGGCACUGGGGACUCUCUCACGGCCCUUGGGCGACCCCAGCCAGCUGCCUGGCUGCUGGCCUCCUCCCAUACCUGUUUGUGCAAUCUCGGCCUCCUCCUCUACCCACUGCCCCUGGCCGGAAGGUGAUGGGGAAAUGGGUAGCCCUACUCCUCAGCCUGGAAAAGGACGCCCCAGACCCCCAGCAGAAGAAGGAAAGUCCCCCUCCUCUCCGCCUCCCUCAUCGACUCCUGCCUCUUUCUGUUGCUGGUGUCUGCAGUGCAGGUGGAAUUGUGACUGAAGAAGGGGUUCC